GGGACCAAUCUCCUCGUCCCUCCUCCAGAUGUGUCCCCUGUAUUAGUGCAAUGUCCAUCACCCCCAAAAGUGGGACCAAUCUCCUCAUCCCUGCCAGGGCACCCAGGAACAGGGUCUAGUCAGUGGGUGAAUCCUGAUCCCAGGCAGGGGUGGGACAGUGCUGACAUAUGCUAUCAUCACACAGACAUCGCAGGCACUGUCAGGUCCGGAGGGGUAAAGGGGAUCCUGAGCUCCUGAGGGGCAAAGGGGCCCAUCCAAGGGCCCUUUAUCUUCCCACCGUCACCUGUUAAUGACCAGAGUCCACAGGUCUGGCUGGAGGCUGCCCAUGGUUUAGGCUGUUUGUCCAGUCUGGCCUUUGCUGAGAUCACAAUAACCUGCUACAGAAUCAUAGAAGCUGCUCUAAGGUCUCCCUUAAGGAGCCUUCUCUUCUCCAGGCUGACCCAGCCCAGCUCUCUCAGCCUGGCUCCAGAGCAGAGCUGCUCCAGCCCUCGCAGCAGCUCCGUGGCCUCCUCUGGCCUCGCUCCAGCAGCUCCACGUCCCUCUUGUGCUGUUGCCCCAGAGCUGGAUCAGGACUGCAGGGGGGGUCUCCCCAGAGCGCAGCAGAGGGGCAGAAUCCCUCCCUGACCUGCUGCUCACCCUCUGGGGGUGCAGCCCAGCACACGGGGAGGGGGGGGUCUGGGCUCAAGCGCACACUGAAGCCGGGUCAUGGGGAGCUUCUCACCCAACACCCCAAGUCCUUCUCCUCUGGCUGCUCCAGCCUGUCUCCCCCAGCCUGGGUCUGUGCUAGUUUUGCCCUGACCCAGGGUCAGGACCUUGCCCUUGGCCUGGUUGAACUCCAGGAGGUUCCCACCUCUCCAGUCUGUGCAGGUCCCUUUCAGGGCUCAGGAUCCAUAGUGCUGCCAUGACAAAAUGCACAUGAGCUUGAAUAAGGAAGUGGCAGCGCUGCCUGAGUUGGAACGUGAAGGAAGUUUUGUGUAAGAGGCUUAUUUGUUGCAAAUUCAUAGAUGCUUAGUUAUGUACCAGGAAGGGAAACACCAUUUGCUGUCUGUGAGCUGUCGAUAGGGACCUUGUAACACAGGGACUGAGCCUUUGUUUUCACACAACCCCACUGGGCGUUACUACAGGUACAGACCCAACAGCUAAACCUUGCCAUGAUCUUAGUGUUGGGCUGGGUCUGGCUGUGCCCACCAGAGAAGAAAACAUUUCCCUCCACAGAUUCCUUUGCCUGUUUAUGAUGCCCAAAUUCAUUGUGGAUAAUGGAGUCACAGAUUGCCAUGAGCAGUUCAGGAAAUCAGUGAACCCCAGACUGGUUUGGGUUGGGAGGGACCUUAAAGCUCAUCCAGCUCCAACCCCUGCCCCGGGCAGGGACACCUUCCACUAGAGCAGGUUGCUCCAAGCCCCUAUGUCCUACCUGGCCUUGAACACUGCCAGGGAUGGGGCAGCCACAGCUUCUCUGGGCACCCUGUGCCAGCGCCUCAGCACCCUCACAGGGAAGAGCUUCUGCCUAAGAGCUCAUCUCAGUCUUCUCUCUGGCAGGUUAAAGCCAUUCCCCUUGUCCUGUUGCUACAGGCCCUUGUCCAAAGCCCCUCUCCAGGUUUCCUGGAGCCCCUUUAGGCACUGGAGCUGCUCUAAGGUCUCCCCUUAAGGACCCUUCUCUUUUCCAGGCCGAACCAGCCCAGCAAUCUCAGC
This 1689-nucleotide long non-coding RNA is filed under the name Strigops habroptila (Kakapo). RNAcentral's name for it is "lncRNA (ENSSHBG00005001149.1)". Lineage: Eukaryota; Metazoa; Chordata; Aves; Psittaciformes; Psittacidae. The record is from RNAcentral.